This 262-nucleotide ribosomal RNA is filed under the name uncultured archaeon. RNAcentral's name for it is "partial 16S ribosomal RNA". It matches the Rfam family "Archaeal small subunit ribosomal RNA", at positions 748 to 1009 of the family's 1478-position model. The record is from RNAcentral.
AGGGUGUAAACGCUGCAGACUUGGUGUUGGGAACCCUUCGGGGGUGCUCAGUGCCGGAGAGAAGUUGUUAAGUCUGCUACUUGGGGAGUACGUCCGCAAGGAUGAAACUUAAAGGAAUUGGCGGGGGAGCACCACAAGAGGGUGGAGGCUGCGGUUCAAUUGGACUCAACGCCGGAAAACUCAUCGGGAGCGACAGCAGUAUGAUUGCCAGGUUGAUGACCUUGCUUGACAAGCUGAGAGGAGGUGCAUGGCGUAGUCGUGU